CACUCUCUCUCUCUCUCUCUCUCUCUCUCUCUCUCUCAAAAUAAAUAAAUAAGUCAAUUUUUUCCAGUUUAAAAAAAUAACAAAAUACAACCAUUAUAACAAUAUAAUGAAAGUUACGUGAACGUGGUCUCUCUGUCUCUCAAAAUGUCUCGUGCUGCACUCACCCUUCUUCUUCCUCCUGUGAUGCUGUGAGCUGACAAAAUGCCUGUGUCAAUGAUGAGAUAAAGUGAGGCGGGAGACGCAGGCCUUGUGACUUGGCGUCAGGCUACUAUUGACCUGAUGGUGCGCCCGGAGGAUCAUCUGCUUCCGGACCCUGGUUGACCUCGGGUAACCGAAGUCCGUGGGUAAGGGGAGACGACGGUAUAGGCCUGGCACUCAAGGAGAACGUUCGGGAAAGAAGCUGUAGCUAGAAAGGGAUCAGGAUCGUCCCUGCGGCCCACUUUUUGUUUAUUUGCGGAUCACCGCCUGUCCAGCCCUUUAUUUGUAAUGUUUAAAGCAAAUGACAAGGUAGGUAAAUGCCUACAGUUGUUUGUAGAACCCAUCCUUGAAUCUUUUUAAUAUGGGUGUUUAAUCUAUUUGUACGUCCCAUUAAACUACAGCGACCCUCUGACAUAUUGUAUGCUUUCCUGUUACGGUUUUGCGGUUUCUGCCUCCCACUAAAUGGCAAUGUGUUAUUUUCUUUUAUCUUCCACAGUGAUUUGAACAUGAUAUGGCCUGUGUUUUUGUAAUGAAACAAUCAUCGUGAAAGCAGUACACUGCAGACAAAUCAGAAAGAUAAGCACAACGAAAUGAAACAGACCCAGAAUCCCACCUACCCAGAGACGCCCACUGUAAACAUGUUUGUGUAUAUCUUCCCAAAUGUCUUCUAGAAAUGUAAACACAUCUGUAUAUAAACACACAAUAGAAUCCACCAGGGAGUCAUGCUACACAUCCACUCCCGUGACCUACUUGGAUGGACGGAGCACGAAUGCCUUUCCUUAUGAGUAAGUCCCCUCUACUUAAUUUCGAAAAUCCCCUUAUUGUGGCCCUAGUCAGGCUUCAUAUCGAUAUUUUCAAACUGCCCUUCGGAUGUGUUUGUACCGAAUUCACUUCUCCUCAGCGUGAAUAAUUAAUACUGCUUUUGAUGUUUGCUAAUGUGAUAAGAGGGGAAGAAUAACGCGCAUCCUGUUUUCGUUCGUACGAGUGUCAUACCUAGUCAAGCUGAACAUUUGCAUGCUUCCUUAUCCGUUUUCUUUCAGGAUUUAAUGUAUGAUGAAGGUGAUGUUUUGCAACUAGACGGGAAAGGACGGAUUGUUCAGCAAAUGAUGUGGGCACCACUGUUUUCCCAUGAGGAAAAAAGAUGAUUAAACGUUAAAAAACAAGAAAGAACCACAAAUCUACUAGAAGAGACAUCGGCGUGUUUAUGGCAGCUCACCCCUGCUCGGUGGCCCUGGCCUUGAAAGCACACGUCCCUCCGCCCCCCGCUCGUCAUCCUUCUGGUCUGGGCUCAAGCGACACUUCCUCGUGCCGGUGGCUCAUCCUCCUCUCCACCGGGCAAAGGUCACCUGGCGUAUCUCAUGCCUACCUCGCCUUUGCCACAUUUUGGACAUUUGUAAGUUAUCCAAGUAUUUGGAGGGUUUUUGUUUGUUUUGAGAGACAGAGAGUGCACGUGCGAGCGAGCGGGGGAGAGGGGCAGUGGGAGAGAGAGAGUCUUAAGCAGGCUCAGCGUGGAGCCCACCGUGGGGCUCAAUCCCACGACCCUGCAUCCAGACCUGAGCCCAAAUCGAGAGUCGGACGCUCAGCCGACUGAGCCACCCACCCUCCCCCGGAGUGCGAUGCUCUCUUCUCACUUAGACAGGAAGGUGCCUAAGGUGUGAAGGAGCAAACUCUUUCCUUCACUCUUCCCUGCCGGGCAGCCUGCCAAGCAUUUAGCACCUUUCCGGGGCUGCUUCCUCCCAUCUUUUAAAAUGCACGUUAAAUACUUUUUUCAAUACACUUUAAAAUCCCGUUGCCAGUGCGCGCCCGCCGCUACCAGGGACGCUCUUGUUGUGGCUUCUACCUGCAACGCUAGGUCCCUGGGGUCUCUCGCUCACCUCCCCAAAGAGGCUCACUCCCUCUGCCUCCUUUUCUAAGGUUUGCCGGGUGUUUGGGAAUUGACCUAACGGAACGAAAAGGCAAGGGGCAGAGCAUGGCAGGGCCACCGAUGACCGUACUUUGUGAGACCCGAAGGCGCCGCGGGUUGUCACACACGCCCGGAAAUCAGACGUGCUUUCGCGCUGGUGGGGGGAGUACAUCUUCAAAUGGAUGACACAGGACUUGUCUCACUCCAGCCCCCAGGACCUUAGACUUAGUGGAAAUAUUUCCGGAACCGUAGCCAAAGCAAGCCUGCCCAUCUUAGUUUUCAGGGGGACCGUGCAUCUCCAUCGUU
Long non-coding RNA from Neofelis nebulosa (Clouded leopard), 2407 nucleotides. RefSeq lists it as uncharacterized. The record is from RefSeq and is a predicted model, not a curated record. The transcript has 3 exons. NCBI's taxonomy places the organism in Eukaryota, Metazoa, Chordata, Mammalia, Carnivora, Felidae.